Molecule: ribosomal RNA, 592 nt
Filed under: uncultured bacterium
Lineage: Bacteria
Description: bacterial SSU rRNA
Rfam family: Bacterial small subunit ribosomal RNA
Source: RNAcentral
GUAAUACCGGAUGAGACCACGAGCUGGCAUCAGCUCGUGCUCAAAGGUUCGCCGCUCUGGGAUGAGGCGAUGUGGUAUCAGGUAGUUGGUAGGGUAACGGCCUACCAAGCCUUCGACGCCUAGCCGGACUGAGAGGCCGGCCGGACACAUCGGGACUGAGACACUGCCCGGACUCCUACGGGGGGCUGCAGUAAUGAAUCUUCCGCAAUGCACGAAAGUGUGACGGAGCGACGCCGAGUGAAGGAUGAAGUCCCUCGGGAUGUAAACUUCUAAAACCUGUUAGAAAGUUCUGAUCGACAGGCUAUAAGUGGCGACUAACUCUGUGCCAGCAGUCGCGGUAAUACAGAGGCCACGAGCGUUAGGCGGAAUCACUGGGCUUAAAGCGUGUGUAGGCGGAUGGCUAAGUACCUUGUGAAAUCCCACGGCUCAACCGUGGAACUGCUCGGUAUACUGUUCGUCUUGAGGCACUCAGGGGCGAGCGGAACAGAUGGUGGAGCGGUGAAAUGCGUAGAUAUCAUCUGGAACGCCAAUGGUGAAGACAGCUCGCUGGGGGUGUACUGACACUGAGACACGAAAGCCAGGGGAGCGAACG